AUACUCCAAUGCCGCCUGUUUAUCAAAACAUCGCCUCUUGAACACAUAUAAGAGGUCCAGCCUGCCCAGUGACUAAAUUCAACGGCCGCGGUAUCCUAACCGUGCGAAGGUAGCGUAAUCACUUGUUCUUUAAAUGAGGACUAGUAUGAAUGGCACCACGAGGGUUAUACUGUCUCCUUUUUCUAAUCAAUGAAACUGAUCUCCCGUGAAGAAGCGGGGAUAAGACUAUCAGACGAGAAGACCCUAUGGAGCUUCAAACAACAUAGCAAUGGCUUAUUUACCUAUAUAAUUUCAGAAUACCUAUACUUAUCUUAGCCUUCUGACUAUUAGUUUUGGGUUGGGAUGACCACGGAGCAAAACCUAACCUCCAUGUUGGAUAGAUCUCCUCUUGAGCCAAAAGCCACAACUUUAAGCACCAAUAAACUGACAUAACUUGACCCAAUAUUUUGAGCAACGAACCAAGUUACCCUAGGGAUAACAGCGCAAUCCACUUCAAGAGCCCCUAUCGACAAGUGGGUUUACGACCUCGAUGUUGGAUCAGGGUAUCCCAGUGGUGCAGCCGCUACUAAAGGUUCGUUUGUUCAACGAUUAAAACCCUACGUGAUCUGAGUUCAGACCGGGCAUUGGAGUA
This 631-nucleotide ribosomal RNA is filed under the name Dendropsophus anceps (Estrella treefrog). RNAcentral describes it as "partial large subunit ribosomal RNA". It matches the Rfam family "Bacterial large subunit ribosomal RNA", at positions 1783 to 2631 of the family's 2925-position model. Lineage: Eukaryota; Metazoa; Chordata; Amphibia; Anura; Hylidae. The record is from RNAcentral.